CCUGCAUGCCCAGUAGCGGCGAGUGAAGCGGCAAGAGCUCAGAUUUGAAAUCGUGUUUCGGCACGAGUUGUAGAGUGUAGGCGGGAGUCUCUGUGGAGCGCGGUGUCCAAGUCCCUUGGAACAGGGUGCCUGAGAGGGUGAGAGCCCCGUAGGGUGCUGCGCGAAGCUUUUGAGGCCCUGCUGACGAGUCGAGUUGUUUGGGAAUGCAGCUCCAAGCGGGUGGUAAAUUCCAUCUAAGGCUAAAUAUUGGCGAGAGACCGAUAGCGAACAAGUACUGUGAAGGAAAGAUGAAAAGCACUUUGAAAAGAGAGUGAAACAGCACGUGAAAUUGUUGAAAGGGAAGGGUAUUGGGCUCGACAUGGGGGGUGCGCACCGCUGUCUCUUGUAGGCGGCGCUCUGGGCGCCCUCUGGGCCAGCAUCGGUUCCUGCUGCGGGAGAAGGGGCUCCGGAAAGUGGCUCUUCGGAGUGUUAUAGCCGGGGCCAGAUGCCGCGUGUGGGGACCGAGGACUGCGGCUUCUGUCUCGGAUGCUGGCAUAACGGCGCAAUACCGCCCGUCUUGACCAACGGACCA
This 571-nucleotide ribosomal RNA is filed under the name Pichia manshurica. Its description in RNAcentral is "eukaryotic LSU rRNA". It matches the Rfam family "Eukaryotic large subunit ribosomal RNA", at positions 70 to 668 of the family's 3401-position model. Lineage: Eukaryota; Fungi; Ascomycota; Pichiomycetes; Pichiales; Pichiaceae. The record is from RNAcentral.